This 493-nucleotide ribosomal RNA is filed under the name uncultured Methanosarcina sp. RNAcentral's name for it is "partial 16S rRNA". It matches the Rfam family "Archaeal small subunit ribosomal RNA", at positions 390 to 879 of the family's 1478-position model. The record is from RNAcentral. Lineage: Archaea; Methanobacteriati; Methanobacteriota; Methanomicrobia; Methanosarcinales; Methanosarcinaceae.
AGCAUCAUAUSYKGSYUGUCCAGGKKGKKAAAAAUMCMCCUKUWRSCAAGGSCCGGGGCAAGACCGGUCCCAGCCSGCCGGGGUAACACCGGCGCCCCGGGUGGUGAUCGUGAUUAUGGGGUCUAAAGGGUCCGUAGCCGGUUUGGUCAGUCCUCCGGGAAAUCUGAUAGCUCAACUAUUAGGCUAUCGGGGGAUACUGCCAGGCUUGGAACCGGGAGAGGUAAGAGGUACUACAGGGGUAGGAGUGAAAUCUUGUAAUCCCCUGUGGGACCACCUGUGGCGAAGGCGUCUUACCAGAACGGGUUCGACGGUGAGGGACGAAAGCUGGGGGCACGAACCGGAUUAGAUACCCGGGUAGUCCCAGCCGUAAACGAUGCUCGCUAGGUGUCAGGCAUGGCGCGACCGUGUCUGGUGCCGCAGGGAAGCCGUGAAGCGAGCCACCUGGGAAGUACGGCCGCAAGGCUGAAACUUAAAGGAAUUGGCGGGGGAGCAC